GACGAACGCUGGCGGCGUGCUUAACACAUGCAAGUCGAACGGAAAGGCCCUGCUUUUGUGGGGUGCUCGAGUGGCGAACGGGUGAGUAACACGUGAGUAACCUGCCCUUGACUUUGGGAUAACUUCAGGAAACUGGGGCUAAUACCGGAUAGGAGCUCCUGCUGCAUGGUGGGGGUUGGAAAGUUUCGGCGGUUGGGGAUGGACUCGCGGCUUAUCAGCUUGUUGGUGGGGUAGUGGCUUACCAAGGCUUUGACGGGUAGCCGGCCUGAGAGGGUUACCGGCCACAUUGGGACUGAGAUACGGCGCAGACUCCUACGGGAGGCAGCAGGGGGGAAUAUUGCACAAUGGGCGGAAGCCUGAUGCAGCAACGCCGCGUGCGGGAUGACGGCCUUCGGGUUGUAAACCGCUUUCGCCGGUGACGAAGCGUGAGUGACGGUAAUGGGUAAAGAAGCAACGGCUAACUACGUG
Molecule: ribosomal RNA, 468 nt
Filed under: uncultured bacterium
Lineage: Bacteria
Description: partial 16S ribosomal RNA
Rfam family: Bacterial small subunit ribosomal RNA
Source: RNAcentral